RNAcentral lists this ribosomal RNA (404 nucleotides) under uncultured bacterium. RNAcentral describes it as "bacterial SSU rRNA". It matches the Rfam family "Bacterial small subunit ribosomal RNA", at positions 355 to 776 of the family's 1533-position model. The record is from RNAcentral.
UAGGGAAUAUUGGACAAUGGGCGAAAGCCUGAUCCAGCCAUGCCGCGUGAGUGAUGAAGGCCUUCGGGUUGUAAAGCUCUUUUGGCGGGGACGAUAAUGACGGUACCCGCAGAAUAAGCCCCGGCUAACUUCGUGCCAGCAGCCGCGGUAAUACGAAGGGGGCUAGCGUUGUUCGGAAUCACUGGGCGUAAAGCGCACGUAGGCGGACUUUCAAGUCAGGGGUGAAAUCCCGGAGCUCAACUUCGGAAUUGCCUUUGAUACUGUAAGUCUCGAGUCCGGAAGAGGUGGGUGGAAUUCCUAGUGUAGAGGUGAAAUUCGUAGAUAUUAGGAAGAACACCGGUGGCGAAGGCGGCCCACUGGUCCGGUACUGACGCUGAGGUGCGAAAGCGUGGGGAGCAAACAGG